This is a long non-coding RNA of Tyto alba (common barn owl), 818 nucleotides long. RefSeq lists it as uncharacterized. The transcript has 3 exons. The record is from RefSeq and is a predicted model, not a curated record. Lineage: Eukaryota; Metazoa; Chordata; Aves; Strigiformes; Tytonidae.
GCGGCGGGGAGCGCCGGUGCACCCGGCGGGUCCCGGUGUCGUCCCCCGCAGCCCCGCCGGGCGGGACACAGCGGGGGUACCGGCGUAGCUCGGCAGCGGCCACCAGGUGCUGCCGACCCUCCCGCCGCGGGUUUCGUGUAUUGUCCCCCCCCCCCCCCCCCCGCCCACGGAGCGGAGCUUCCGGGCGCGCGUGUGCGCCAGCCUCCCUCCCGCACACCCACACACACGCGUGUGUGCGUCAGCCUUCCUCGCACACGCACGCACGGCGGCUCCCAUCCCCCACCCCCCCCCCGCCGCCGCCGUCGUACGCGCACUCCUCCACCUGGUGUGUCAGCCCGCGCCCACGCGGCACGGCGUGCGUGGCCGACCCCCACGCUCCCCCCCCCCCCCACACACUUCCCCCCACCUCACGCGCCAGCGUUUCGCUCCCCCGUCCCGAAACACUCGGGGAGUCGCUGCCCCUCCCUGGGGUCCCGGGUGCUACUCCUCCCCCCCCCCCCCCCCGCCAAGCAGCGGUUAUUUACGUGCUGCGAGGAAAUGCCACCGAGGGAGGGCGGCGACACUGUUACUCGGUUUUAAUUAAAGAAAUUAAUUUAUCCGGGCGUUUCGCGUUAGCGGUAAAAGUAUUGAGUCUCCAACAUGAAAGGAUCUCUGUAGCACCACACUGGAAUUACUUGACAAUAAAAGGAGCCCAGGGUGAUUAAUCCUGAUCCAAUUCUUUGCACUGCAGACUUCUACAUCUGGCCAUCCAUACUGCAUUUUUCUUCUCUAACUGAAAAAAAAUAUAGUUGGCUAUAUAAUCAUGAGGAAAAGAAACA